AGAGUUUGAUUCUGGCUCGGAACGAACGCUGGUGGCGUGUCUUAUACAUGCAAGUCGAGCGAGGCAGCAAUGCCGAGCGGCGAACGGGUGAGUAACGCGUAAGCAAUCUGCCCCAUAUCAGGAAAUACCCGUGCCAACGCGCGGUUAAUGUCCAGGAGAGUGGCCCUCUGCAUGGAGGGUUGACUAGAGAUUUAUCGGUACGGGAUGAGCUUGCGUCCGAUUAGCUAGUUGGCGGGACAACGGCCACCAAGGCGACGAUCGGUAGCCGGCCUGAGAGGGUGAUCGGCCACAUUGGGACUGAGAUACGGCCCAGACUCCUACGGGAGGCAGCAGUAGGGAAUAUUGCACAAUGGGGGAAACCCUGAUGCAGCAACGCCACGUGUGGGAAAGAAGCAUUUCGGUGUGUAAACCACUGUCAUGAGGGAAUAAGGCCCAGUUUAGGCUGGGAUUGAAUGUACCUUGAGAGGAAGCACCGGCAAACUUCGUGCCAGCAGCUGC
RNAcentral lists this ribosomal RNA (498 nucleotides) under uncultured bacterium. RNAcentral's name for it is "bacterial SSU rRNA". It matches the Rfam family "Bacterial small subunit ribosomal RNA", at positions 8 to 518 of the family's 1533-position model. The record is from RNAcentral.